GUGCCAGCAGCCGCGGUAAUACGUAGGGUGCGAGCGUUAAUCGGAAUUACUGGGCGUAAAGCGUGCGUAGGCGGUUCGUUAAGUUCGUUGUGAAAGCCCCGGGCUCAACCUGGGAAUGGCAAUGGAAACUGGCGGGCUAGAGUGUGGCAGAGGGGGGUGGAAUUCCACGUGUAGCAGUGAAAUGCGUAGAGAUGUGGAGGAACACCGAUGGCGAAGGCAACCCCCUGGGCUGACACUGACGCUCAGGCACGAAAGCGUGGGGAGCAAACAGGAUUAGAAACCCCAGUAGUCC
RNAcentral lists this ribosomal RNA (292 nucleotides) under uncultured bacterium. RNAcentral's name for it is "partial 16S ribosomal RNA". It matches the Rfam family "Bacterial small subunit ribosomal RNA", at positions 505 to 796 of the family's 1533-position model. The record is from RNAcentral.